AUUCGCCCGCCGCGCCCCGCGCCCGUCCCGCCGCCCCCGCCCGCUCCUACGGGAGGCAGCAGUGGGGAAUAUUGCACAAUGGGCGCAAGCCUGAUGCAGCGACGCCGCGUGCGGGAUGGAGGCCUUCGGGUUGUAAACCGCUUUUGUUCAAGGGCAAGGCACGGUCUUUGGCCGUGUUGAGUGGAUUGUUCGAAUAAGCACCGGCUAACUACGUGCCAGCAGCCGCGGUAAUACAAUCCAUAUGACUAGUA
Molecule: ribosomal RNA, 251 nt
Filed under: uncultured organism
Description: partial 16S ribosomal RNA
Rfam family: Bacterial small subunit ribosomal RNA
Source: RNAcentral